This 497-nucleotide ribosomal RNA is filed under the name uncultured bacterium. RNAcentral's name for it is "partial 16S ribosomal RNA". It matches the Rfam family "Bacterial small subunit ribosomal RNA", at positions 28 to 507 of the family's 1533-position model. The record is from RNAcentral.
GAUGAACGCUGGCGGCGUGCCUAAUACAUGCAAGUCGAGCGAACGGACGAGAAGCUUGCUUUUCUGAUGUUAGCGGCGGACGGGUGAGUAACACGUGGAUAACCUACCUAUAAGACUGGGAUAACUUCGGGAAACCGGAGCUAAUAUCGGAUAAUAUUUUGAACCGCAUGGUUCAAAAGUGAAAGACGGUCUUGCUGUCACUUAUAGAUGGAUCCGCGCUGCAUUAGCUAGUUGGUAAGGUAACGGCUUACCAAGGCAACGAUGCAUAGCCGACCUGAGAGGGUGAUCGGCCACACUGGAACUGAGACACGGUCCAGACUCCUACGGGAGGUAGCAGUAGGGAAUCUUCCGCAAUGGGCGAAAGCCUGACGGAGCAACGCCGCGUGAGUGAUGAAGGUCUUCGGAUCGUAAAACUCUGUUAUUAGGGAAGAACAUAUGUGUAAGUAACUGUGCACAUCUUGACGGUACCUAAUCAGAAAGCCACGGCUAACUACGUG